Molecule: non-coding RNA, 152 nt
Filed under: chicken gut metagenome
Source: RNAcentral
CGGGUGCCCCGCGCGUCGGGGUGAAAAGGGAAAGCGGUUAAAAUCCGCUGCAGCCCCCGCUACUGUGAGGCGGACGAGGGCGGCGACCACCGGCUGAAGCUGGGAAGGGCCGUCCAAGGAUGAGGCCGAGCCAGGAGACCUGCCCGCAUGGC